This 253-nucleotide unclassified non-coding RNA is filed under the name uncultured Kangiellaceae bacterium. RNAcentral describes it as "contains 16S-23S intergenic spacer region". It matches the Rfam family "Bacterial small subunit ribosomal RNA", at positions 524 to 776 of the family's 1533-position model. Lineage: Bacteria; Pseudomonadati; Pseudomonadota; Gammaproteobacteria; Kangiellales; Kangiellaceae. The record is from RNAcentral.
UACGGAGGGUGCAAGCGUUAAUCGGAAUUACGGGGCGUACAGCGCGCGUAGGCGGAUGAUUAAGUCAGAUGUGAAAGCUCCGGGCUCAACCUGGGAACUGCAUUUGAGACUGGUCGUCUAGAGUACAGAAGAGGGGGGUGGAAUUCCAGGUGUAGCGGUGAAAUGCGUGGAGCUCUGGAGGAACAUCAGUGGCGAAGGCGACCCACUGGGCUGAUACUGACGCUGAGGUGCGAAAGCGUGGCUAGCGAACAGG